This is a long non-coding RNA of Prunus avium (sweet cherry), 2629 nucleotides long. RefSeq lists it as uncharacterized. The record is from RefSeq and is a predicted model, not a curated record. Lineage: Eukaryota; Viridiplantae; Streptophyta; Magnoliopsida; Rosales; Rosaceae.
UAAAAUCAACAUAAUCUCUUUACAAAAAUUGGUUAUUUUACUUGGACUUGUGAAUGAAUUAAAUUCGAACAUUUCAAAUGGAUUGAGUUCAUUUGAUAUGUUCGAAUUAAGCUUGUGAAUGAAUUAAGCUUGUGGGUUUAUCACGAAUAUAGGGUUUGGAGGGUCCAUUGACCUGGCUGCUUUACUGGAUUUCAUGGAUAGCGGUCAUGAUUUGAUCAUUGCAGCUGAUACCAAUGCAUCUGAUUUGAUCCGACAAAUCGCAGUCGAGUGUGGAGUUGAUUUUGAUGAGUGAAAUGUGUGAGUGUUGGGCCAUGUGUAGUUUUCAUGCCAAGAAUCGAUUUGUGGGCUGUGGAGACACCUCUUCAAGUGACAGUCGAGAGUGAUUCUGAUUCAUCAGACCAUCAACUUCGUGAAAAUGAAAAGUCGUAUUUUGUAUACAUGGUCAAGUUGGUGAAAAGGGCAGUGGGUCCGCUUCACAACAAUGCAAAUCAGAAGACAUGGAUGAUGGGAGAGUGCACGAGUGUUGCUCGAAGCGCUUCACAUGCCUGGAACUUAUUUGUUGAGCAGGUGGAGUCUCUACAUCCUUGAUGUUUCUGGCCAAUUGAAAGGUCUUGCUUAAAAGGCUACAUCAGAAGUUGCAGAUCCAGUACUACCAGUUAGAAUAAGGCAGUUCUUCAAGAUCAGUCAAUUCCUGUGAAGCAUACAGUUCCCUGAUUUCUUGUGCAGGUCAAUCGAGAUUUCAACCAUGAUUUGGGGAUCAAUCUAUCCGCAGAAGAGUUAUUAAAGGAUAUGGUUCAACAGGUUGUUCUGUUAAUUCAUCAAACGUCCCACAUCCAUACAAGCUCUUGCCAGGAGUAUAAAACUUGUGGUACCAGAAAAGAUCAAUCAGAGAUGGUUAAUCACAGUCUAGAUCAUGGAUCAGCUGAUGAAAACAACACUGUAAAACAGGGUCCUGAUACUAACAGUAGAACUGUGAAGGGGAAAUCGAGCUUGCUGCUAGCAAUAUGUACAUUUGGAUAUCAGAUUCUGCAAUAUCCUCAUUUUGUUGAGCUUUGUUGGUUUACUUCAGAAUUCAAAGAAGGUUCCUCUGUGGACAUAGUUGACCUUGAAGUGCUGGCCAUUCAAUUCUUGUAUAGUUCGUCCUAACUCAAUUGAAAAGGUGGCUGUUGGUUGUAGCUCCAGCAACAUUAAAAGCAAAGAAAAAUUUGUUCUAGUUAGAGGCCUGAUUGCUGUCAGUUUGUCGGCAUACAGAGGUUUCUACACAUCACUCAGAGAAGUCUCCUUUGAAAUACGGAAGGUUCUUGAGCUUCUAGUUUUACAGAUCAAUGCAAAGAUCCAGGCUGGGAAAGAUAGCUAUCAAUAUGUUCGCCUUUUAUUGCAAGUGGCCUAUAUGGGAGACAUGGUUAAUAGCUGGGCAUGCUUGCUGCACGGUUUAGAGUUGGAUGCUCCAAUGAAAAUGGCAAAUGCUAUUUAAGCUAACCGAUGUGAGACCUCCAGAUGAUCACCAUGUGAACGAUCAAGUUCAAAGGGAGGAACCCAAGCCAAAUGGUACUAGCAAAUGCUCCGAUGGGCUUGAAGUGCCAGAAAUUGGCCCUCAAGGUUUGAUAAUGAAAAAGUCUGUAGUGUUUACUUAAAUGAAGAAGAUGGUGAUUUGGGUCAUCCUAAUUCUGUAGGUGGACUUGAAAUUUCUGAUUUGUCUGGACAGAAAAGCGUCCUAACGAACUCUACUCUGGAUAAAUCUCUUCUUGAUUCAGAUGAAAUUUUGAAUGACCAGAAUGUGACAAGCUGAUGUCCAAAAAAAAAAAAAUAUGUGACAAGCCCUAAACCACGUGAGCCAGAAAAUGACAAAAACCAUGUAGUUGUGAAUGGAGAUGCUGGAUCCUUGAAACAUUCAAAUGGAUUUGAAUACUGAAUCUGUUGUCAUUUCGGAGGAUGGUUGAACUUAUGAUGAAUUUGGCCUCAUUAAGCUCUCUAGCUCUAGUACCGUCUGCAAUGAGCUUAAUGGUUUGUCCGAUGCUGGUAUUGGACAGAAUGAUGGUAAGUGUGACGCUGAUGAGCAUAUUAUGGAUGUCGACUUCUCGGGCAAAACAAGUCUCACUAGCGAGUCUGGGGUUUUAUGCUUGUAUUGUUGUUGCCCUACAUGUCUAGAUAUCCUCUACAGUUUGACACAGAAAAUUCUUAUUCACAAAUGGGGAUCCAAUAGGAGCCUAUGGACUGCAGAGGAUGCCUAUGAUAUUGUUGCAUCAGUGUCUGUGGAUGUUCUUGCAGCAGUUAGAAGAAUGAAUGUUUGUGGAGGUUUCAGCAACUCAUUGGAUGAUAAAUUGAGAGACGGAAAUAGUGAGAGGUUUGAAUGGCCAGAAACAAUUACAUGCCAAUGCAAAACUUCAGGAAAUAAGUCUUUUGCCAGUGGAAUGUAAAUGCCACACCAUCAGCGAUAGCACCAUAACAAAUAAGUAAAUGCUUUCCGAAUACUCAUCCCCGGUUUGAGUCAAACUUUAUUUUCAGAGAUGGUGUACUGGUUCAUAUGGAUCCUGUGAAGGAUGUUUCUUUUCACUGCAAAUUCGAGACUCUGUUCCUCUGUUCACUUAUGGAGUUGAUAGUAAUGAGCAAGCUGCCUUUUCAUUGAUUU